Molecule: small nuclear RNA, 139 nt
Filed under: Glycine max (soybean)
Lineage: Eukaryota; Viridiplantae; Streptophyta; Magnoliopsida; Fabales; Fabaceae
Description: U4 spliceosomal RNA
Rfam family: U4 spliceosomal RNA
About the family: U4 small nuclear RNA (U4 snRNA) is a component of the major U2-dependent spliceosome.
Source: Rfam by way of RNAcentral
AUCUUUGCGCUUGGGACAAUAACGCAGCUAGUGAGGUUCUAACCGAGGUGUGUCUAUUGCUGGUUGAAAACUAUUUUCAAACCCCCUCUGAGGCCUGGGAUUGGAAAUAGUCCUAAGAUAAUAGUUCAAUUUUUUUUUU